GUUCUCGCUUUGGUAGCAUAUAUACUGACAUUGGAACAAUACAGAGAAUAUUAGCAUGGCCCCUGUGCAAGGAUGGCUUGCAAAUUUGUGAAACAUUCCAUAUCGAA
RNAcentral lists this small nuclear RNA (107 nucleotides) under Propithecus coquereli (Coquerel's sifaka). Lineage: Eukaryota; Metazoa; Chordata; Mammalia; Primates; Indriidae. The record is from RNAcentral.